CAACCCUCGAGCCCCUCCGGGGGGUCGGCGUUGGGGAUCGGCCUUCCCGCCCUCGCGGCGGUUUCGCCGGCCCCGAAAUGCAGUGGCGGUCUCGCCGCAGCCUCUCCUGCGCAGUAGUUUGCACACUCGCAACGGGAGCGCGGCGCGUCCACGGCCGUAAAACAACCCAAACUUCUGAAA
Molecule: unclassified non-coding RNA, 180 nt
Filed under: uncultured Trichoderma
Lineage: Eukaryota; Fungi; Ascomycota; Sordariomycetes; Hypocreales; Hypocreaceae
Description: sequence contains ITS2
Source: RNAcentral